Small nucleolar RNA from Coffea arabica (coffee), 107 nucleotides. NCBI's taxonomy places the organism in Eukaryota, Viridiplantae, Streptophyta, Magnoliopsida, Gentianales, Rubiaceae. The record is from RefSeq and is a predicted model, not a curated record.
AGUCCAUGGUGUGGAUAUUUUCGAAACAAAUCUCUAAACCUUUCACAUGUUUCAUAUAAUGAUUCUCUCUCCAGUUGACGAAAACUAAUAAUGUCCAUUCUAAACUU